This 206-nucleotide long non-coding RNA is filed under the name Phoenix dactylifera (date palm). Its description in RNAcentral is "long non-coding RNA (PDAC_LNC008496)". Lineage: Eukaryota; Viridiplantae; Streptophyta; Magnoliopsida; Arecales; Arecaceae. The record is from RNAcentral.
CCUAUCUCCCAACCAACUCCAAGCUUCAUCCCGUUGUGAUCUUCUCUUCUCCCGUUCGGAUCAAGCAACCAAUAUUCCCCUGUUUCCCAUUUGUAAUAACACUCAUCCCGACUAUCUGUUCUCUGUUGAUCCUCCCAACUUCUCUUCCCUGAUUUCUUCACCCGUUCAAAUCAAGCCGAGUCCCAAGCAUCGAUCAACUUCUUCCG